GGCGAUGUAGCUCAGUUGGUUAGAGCAUACGGCUCAUAUCCCCGGGGUUCAAGUCCCUGCAUCGCCACCA
RNAcentral lists this transfer RNA (70 nucleotides) under Deltaproteobacteria bacterium HGW-Deltaproteobacteria-3. RNAcentral describes it as "tRNA-OTHER". It matches the Rfam family "tRNA". From Rfam's summary of the family: Transfer RNA (tRNA) molecules are approximately 80 nucleotides in length. The record is from RNAcentral. Lineage: Bacteria; Deltaproteobacteria.